AUGGAUUCCGGCGAUGCACCUGAACGGAUUCGCGAGGAAACGGGUUCUCGGAGCAGAGACGGCCUGCCUCAGCGUGACGCGACUGGAGCAGGUCCAGAUGCUAAUCGCCAUGGGGGAGACCGCGUCCUUGCCAAGCGCCUGAAGGAUGAAUCGCCUGACACAUCGGAGCCGCCGCCGUCACGGCUGAAGAAGGCUGUGGAGCUGGAGCCUCACCCCGCUCAGAACAGAGACGAGCAGUUCGUCUGGCCCUGGAUGGGAGUGCUGGUCAAUGUGCCUACCGAGUGGAAAGGAGGGCGCCAGGUCGGGGAAAGUGGGAACCGCCUGAAGGAGCAGCUCUCGGCCUUUUGCCCGCACAAGGUCAGUCCUUUGUGGAACCAUAGAGGCCACACCGGGAACGCCAUCGUUGAGUUUGGAAAAGACUAUGCUUCUUUCUGCAACGCAUUCAAGUUUGAGAACCACUUUGAGGCAGAAGGAUAUGGCAAGCGGGACUGGGAGCAGCACAAGUAUCGAGGGCCCGAGAUGUUUGGAUGGGUUGCAAGGGCUGAUGAUCACAGAGCCCCGGGACCGGUCGGGGAGCAUCUGCAGAAAAACGGUGAUCUGAAAACCGUUGCAGAACUUGAGAAUGAAGGAACACGCAAAACCGACAAGCUGGUAGCUAAUUUAGCCAGCGCAAUUGAGGUAAAGACCAAGCAUGCCCAAGAACUUGAAUGCAAGUACAAUGAGACGACUACCUCACUUGACAAGGUGAUGGAAGAAAAGGAGCUGGUCCUCCAGAGAUAUAAUGAUGAAAUCCGCAAUAUGCAGCAAAUCGCUCGUAGGCAUUCGCAGAUGAUCCUUAAUGAGAAUCAGAAACUUCGUUCGGAACUGGAGGCCAAGAUGCAGGAUCUUGAAUUCAAAUCCAGGCAGCUUGAUGAGCUUGCUGUGCGUAGUGACUCGGAUAGAAGGAACCUUGAGAAAGAGAAGGAGAAGAGGGAGAAAAAGGCUGCUCUAGAUGAGAUUAUCAAGUUAGAGCAGAAACUGGAUGCCAAACAGAAGCUUGAGCUAGAAAUAAAACAGUUGCAGGGAAAAUUGGAAGUGAUGAAGCAUAUGCCAGGUGAAGAAGACUCUGAAUCAAAGAGAAAAAUAGAUGAACUUAGUGCCGAGCUUCAGGACAAGUAUGAUGAAAUGGAUGCAGUGGAAGCACUCCACCACACUCUGCUUAUGAAGGAAAGGAUAAGCAACGAUGAGUUGCAAGAUGCUCGGAAGAAGCUAAUAGAUGGUCUGCGGGAUGUUACAACUGCCCGAGCAACUGUAGGCGUUAAAAGAAUGGGUGAUCUUGAUCUGAAAUCAUUUGCUAAGGCUUGCAAAGGUAAAAUGUCAGAAGAAGAUGCAGAAGUAACUGCUUCCAUUCUUUGUUCAAAGUGGGAAGAGGAGAUUAAAAAUCCAGAAUGGCACCCUUUUAAAGUUAUCAUGGUCGAGGGCAGAGAGAAGGAAAUUCUCCGUGAGGAUGAUGAGAAGCUGCAGGAACUCAAAGAAGAGCAUGGUGGGGAAGUCUAUGGGUUGGUGACAAAGGCUUUGCUUGAAGUGAAUGAGUACAACCCUAGCGGCCGCUAUUCUGUGCCGGAGCUGUGGAACCACAAAGAGAAUAGGAAGGCAACCCUGAAAGAAGUGGUCCAGUACGUGCUGAGGCAGUGGCGCACACAGAAGCGGAAGCGCUGA
Molecule: ribosomal RNA, 1698 nt
Filed under: Triticum aestivum (bread wheat)
Lineage: Eukaryota; Viridiplantae; Streptophyta; Magnoliopsida; Poales; Poaceae
Description: partial small subunit ribosomal RNA
Source: RNAcentral